This is a long non-coding RNA of Panicum virgatum (switchgrass), 715 nucleotides long. RefSeq lists it as uncharacterized. The record is from RefSeq and is a predicted model, not a curated record. The transcript is spliced from 2 exons. Lineage: Eukaryota; Viridiplantae; Streptophyta; Magnoliopsida; Poales; Poaceae.
UGAUGAGAAAUUUGAGCCUGCGGGUCCUAUAAGGGAAUGUUCUACCUGUCUUGUGUUUGAAUACUUCAAUGAACUUUGGGGAGUAGUCUUGGAUGUUGACGACUAUGCUGAUUACUAUGAUCCUUCUUACGGCCUGGAUGGAGAUGAUGAGACUGAUUUUGAAGUGCACGAUAGGUUGAUUGGCAAGAGGUUGCGCAGGUACCUGAAGAUGGAAUAAAAGUGAGAUCAACCUGGAUGUUAUGAGAUGACCAAAACAAGAAGAUAUGGUAUUGAUAUUCAUCUUUUGCAAAGCGUGGGCGGUGGUGCAUUAUCUGUAAUGGAGAAGCGAAUUAGUUGCAACUUGAAGGCCAAAUUGGGGUGGUGGUCAUCUCCAGUGUUCGGAAGGUGUUUAUUUGGGGUGGAUAAAUCAACUGAAAGAACCAAAAGGUCUGUCCUUAGACAAUGGGCUCAGAAGUCAGAAGGCACCCAGCUACUUAUUCAAAAAGGUUGCAACUCUUGGAUGGCAGCAUUUCAAAUCUGGACAUAGAUGUCACUGUAACUGUUUAAAAUUUACUAGUCCACUCCUCUAUUUUUUUACCUUCCACGUUCAUUCCCUAUCCCCUGCAUGUACUGGUUUUUGUACUUCAGCAUAAAGAAUAAGUAGAUUUAUAAGUUUUUGUACUUCAGCAUAAAGAAUAAGUAGCAGAUGAUUUGUAAGUCUAUGGGAGCUGCUUUA